RNAcentral lists this ribosomal RNA (465 nucleotides) under Vreelandella stevensii. RNAcentral's name for it is "partial 16S ribosomal RNA". It matches the Rfam family "Bacterial small subunit ribosomal RNA", at positions 338 to 795 of the family's 1533-position model. Lineage: Bacteria; Pseudomonadati; Pseudomonadota; Gammaproteobacteria; Oceanospirillales; Halomonadaceae. The record is from RNAcentral.
CCUACGGGCGGCAGCAGUGGGGAAUAUUGGACAAUGGGCGAAAGCCUGAUCCAGCCAUGCCGCGUGUGUGAAGAAGGCCUUCGGGUUGUAAAGCACUUUCAGUGGGGAAGAAAGCCUUGGGGCUAAUACCCUCGAGGAAGGACAUCACCCACAGAAGAAGCACCGGCUAACUCCGUGCCAGCAGCCGCGGUAAUACGGUGGGUGCGAGCGUUAAUCGGAAUUACUGGGCGUAAAGCGCGCGUAGGCGGUCUGAUAAGCCGGUUGUGAAAGCCCCGGGCUCAACCUGGGAACGGCAUCCGGAACUGUCAGGCUAGAGUGCAGGAGAGGAAGGUAGAAUUCCCGGUGUAGCGGUGAAAUGCGUAGAGAUCGGGAGGAAUACCAGUGGCGAAGGCGGCCUUCUGGACUGACACUGACGCUGAGGUGCGAAAGCGUGGGUAGCAAACAGGAUUAGAUACCCGAGUAGUC